AAAUAUUUUCAAUAAAACCGUUCCAGAAUCUUUUUCAAGUGUAUUUAAUCAAAAUUAUUCAAAAUGAAAUUACCAAAAAGUGUCAAUAAUGUAGAACAUCUGGUUGAAUAUAUGGAAAGUACUGGAGUGUUAUGUUUUUUAGAAAUCGCUGAAAAUUUGAAAAUUUUUCGAAAUCGCACAGCUUUUGACCGUGGAGUAAUGAAUGAUGGUUUUAUUAUUCGCGAUCCGGAAGCAUUACGAACAAAACGGAGCUGUGCCGAUUUAUACAAGAGUGAAAUUCGAGCGGAAAAUGGAACAAUUAAAACAAAAAAUGAAUAAUCAAGCCAAAGGCAUGGAGUACAUUAAAAUGUCUGACUUGGUAGAGAAUCAUGCCUAUAGAGUUGAUUCAAUGAAAAAUUUGACAACGAGAAACGGUGUUGUGGUGGUGGCACGGUUGCCCGACAACCGACAAGUUUUUGUUCCAAGAAUACAGUUGACGGACGAUGAAAUUAAAACGUACAACGACGGCGACACCAAAAUGUCACUGUGUUACAGAGGAAGAACGGGAAAUGCUUAUUCAUUUGAUUUUCAAUAAAUUUUUUUUUUAAUACAUUAACUUUUUUUUUUUUUUUUACAAUCAACAAAUCUGUUUGUAUCUAAUGAUGAUUUAUGUACAACAAUUGAAAUAAAAUUAUAUAGUUCGUUCACAAUCUAUUUGUGUUUGCAUUAUUACUCCGAUAGUAUAGAACCUAAUAGUAGUUUAUGACAAAGGUAAAUUAUACUUUAGAUUAAUAUUAUAAGAUUGAUAGUUUUUCAAAUUGGUGGAAAAUGUAAAAACAAAAAUCACAAUAGCAAUACUUUAAAGUAGAUUUUAAGAAGAAAAAAAAACUCAUGUAUUCAAGUUUUACACACCAUUGAUAAUAUAAUCCGUUAACAGUCCAGUAGUGUUUACUCCAAUAGUAAAAGUACAUUGAACUGAAUAGUUGAUUAAAGAGGUGGCCAUACACACGUUUAACUAAUGUAUUAAUUUUUCAAUAGUUGUUAUCAUGUCGUUUGUAUGCGGUUGUGGGUCUUCAUUUG
This is a long non-coding RNA of Daktulosphaira vitifoliae (grape phylloxera), 1059 nucleotides long. RefSeq lists it as uncharacterized. The record is from RefSeq and is a predicted model, not a curated record. The transcript has 3 exons. NCBI's taxonomy places the organism in Eukaryota, Metazoa, Arthropoda, Insecta, Hemiptera, Phylloxeridae.